Oryzias melastigma (Indian medaka) is the source of this 2242-nucleotide long non-coding RNA. RefSeq lists it as uncharacterized. The record is from RefSeq and is a predicted model, not a curated record. Lineage: Eukaryota; Metazoa; Chordata; Actinopteri; Beloniformes; Adrianichthyidae. The transcript is spliced from 4 exons.
UCCUGUCGGGCAGUAGUUAAAUCCGCGGGUCUUCAGGUCAGGGGCUUCUGGGAUUGCUAGCUUACUGAAUGAAUCCAGCGGCUACAAGAGAAACUCAACGAUGCUUUGGUCGACGGACUUCAAACUCCAGAACGAGGCUACAGAGGCUCCACCCUAACCGUUCCAUUCGACUUUUCAAUGGACCUACAGCGGAUGGGGGCCCCCAAGAGAGUGACGAACUCAUGCAGUCAGAUGGAAUCUGGAGAAGAACGAACUGCUGGUCAGACUGUUAAAGGGUUCUCCACCAAGACCAAAGAGCUGUCGAAGCACACAAGAAUCAAGAUUGUACAUCUGAACAAGACUGGAAUGAACCAAUCUACAAUCAGCAAACAGCUUGAUGAGAAUAUAUGAACUUUUGGAGAUUUUUUGUAGAAAAAAGUAAGAAAUUCAAAAUCACUGACUAUCUCUCUUCACCUCCAUGCAAGAUCUCAGCUGAUGGGGAGCAAAGGAUCUUAAAAACAGUGAGGAAACAGCCCAGAACUGUAUGGAACUGUAGAUCUGUUUGGAAGAAUGGGCCAAAAUAGCAGCUACCUUGUAAUCCUGGUGAACACUUACAGAUCUCCUAAUUCCAACAAGCGUUAUAUUACAAAGGAUUGAGGUGAACUUUUGUUUGACACCACUUAUUUUUUUUUAUGCCAUCACUGUUAGUCACGUCGAUGUAGAUCAUCAACCCCCCCAUGUCUGAUGAUAUUUACUGCUGACACACUUGUUGACUCACCAGCUCCUCUCUAAAAUGCACAUCCUGUCAUCAAUGAUCAAACCCAUCAAUGCAAUGGCAUCACAUAAAUUAGAAAAAAUGUUUCAAAUGGAGGAAGAAGCAAAAAAAUAUCAUUCAUACAAAGUUUAGUUAUCAGAAGUGUUCUUCAGUUAGAGACGUUUGCUUUCACAGUGAAUUAAUCAUGCUGUCAGCAUGCAGGAAGUGGAAGCUCUCAGGCUGUUUCUGCAUUUCUCCAGAAUAUGAAUUGAUAGUACUUCAUACUGGCAGAUCUCCAAGCAGCACUGCACACAGAAUUGAAUCUGUAAAGGAGAUGCCGAUGGAACAACUGACUGACAUUUGAAAUUUCAAUAACUUUUAAAUUCUAUUUGAAAAUGUUGCAAAUGCUAAAUGUGUUGCUGCAAGUAAAAUGCAAAUGAGGUUGUAACUAUGGAAAAGAGGCAAAAAAAGUGUGGUGCGGUAAAAUGUCAUGGUUACACGCUUGGUUGUGCAUGACCAUUAAAUUAGGUAGGUUUGGAAAAAUAAAAAAGUUUUAAAUGAUGGUGGAAUUUCGUUAAAAUCACAACUUUUAGGGAUUUUCUAUAAAUUAUGUGGUACAAAUAAAAAAAAAAGCUCUUUUUUAGUUUUUUCACGUGAUGCAGCACAGAAUUUAUUUAUUUCUCAAUGUUUUUAAUUUUGGAUGUGAUAAGCCACAGCAACUCAGGGGCAUCCAAACAGGCUCUUCAGGAGGCCAUGCAGAAAGGAGGCCUGCAUGAUUAAACAGACAGUUUAGAUUGUGGUUCCACUUCAGUGAGUUGAAUUUUAAUUUCCUUUCCUGGGUAGUUGAUUGGUAGUAAUUGGAUUUUGCCAGGCUUUGUUAAAAAGUCAGAGGGAAACACUAACAAAUAAAAGAGCUAACAAUUGUUUGGUUUUACGGGAAGGAAACAAGAGAAAUGUGUACUUUAAACUAAUUGUUUCAGUUGGUUUGCCUCCUUUUUUAUAUGAAUUAAAGCGUUAAAAUGUUGUGCAAUGAUUGGUUGUUUUGAGGACCGUAGCAUGAGACUGAGUGAUGAAUGGUGACCCAAACAGGACAGAUCUCAGACAGGAAAUGCAGACUGUGGUGCCAAACGUGGCUAGCAGAUGGCAACAACAGGGCCCUGUCGGUCCAAAGUAGAGGGUGGGCAUGUGGACGGCAAAAAGACUCGGAAUGGAUAAUGUUAGGCCAUCUGUCUAUGACAAAACAAAUGUAAAGGUGGAACUAUUUUGCUUUAGAUUAAGAUAGCUUCGAGAUGAGACUGCAUGCAACAAUUUGACCUUUAAAGACCCGACUCUUGCUCAAAUGUUAUUUUGUUAUAAGAUCUUUGGUACAUCUCUGCAUGCUGUUGCAGCUUUCUGCUUUUGCAACAGCUCCUUGCUCCACUUGUGAUGUAGGUCUGCAUCUUAAUCAGUGUUUUAUUCACCUCAGUUUUGAGGUCACCUUGGGCUGUCUCAGUAAAAUAAAGUGGCACA